GGCUGUGUAGCUCAGUGGUAGAGCACUAGUCUCAUGAGCUAGGGGUCCCGGGUUCAAUCCCCGGUGCAGCCA
RNAcentral lists this transfer RNA (72 nucleotides) under Candidatus Pacearchaeota archaeon. RNAcentral describes it as "tRNA-Met". It matches the Rfam family "tRNA". From Rfam's summary of the family: Transfer RNA (tRNA) molecules are approximately 80 nucleotides in length. The record is from RNAcentral. Lineage: Archaea; Nanobdellati.